GGUUGUAUAGUGUAGUGGUUAUCACUCUGGAUUUUGAGUCUAAACAACUCUCUGCCUUCCAGUAACCCCGGUUCGACCCCGGGUACGACCU
Molecule: non-coding RNA, 91 nt
Organism: Lasiosphaeria ovina
Lineage: Eukaryota; Fungi; Ascomycota; Sordariomycetes; Sordariales; Lasiosphaeriaceae
Source: the annotation of a GenBank genome assembly